This 752-nucleotide ribosomal RNA is filed under the name Gymnopilus voitkii. RNAcentral's name for it is "partial large subunit ribosomal RNA". It matches the Rfam family "Eukaryotic large subunit ribosomal RNA", at positions 130 to 871 of the family's 3401-position model. The record is from RNAcentral. Lineage: Eukaryota; Fungi; Basidiomycota; Agaricomycetes; Agaricales; Galerinaceae.
UUGGUCGUCCGCAUUGUAAUCUAGAGAAGUGUUACCCGCGUUGGACCGUGUACAAGUCUCCUGGAAUGGAGCGUCAUAGAGGGUGACAAUCCCGUCUUUGACACGGACUCCCAAGGCUUUGUGGUGCGCUCUCAAAGAGUCGAGUUGUUUGGGAAUGCAGCUCUAAAUGGGUGGUAAAUUCCAUCUAAAGCUAAAUAUUGGCGAGAGACCGAUAGCGAACAAGUACCGUGAGGGAAAGAUGAAAAGAACUUUGGAAAGAGAGUUAAACAGUACGUGAAAUUGCUGAAAGGGAAACGCUUGAAGUCAGUCGCGUCGUCCGGAGAUCAACCUUGCUUUUGCUAGGCGUACUCUCCGGUUGACGGGCCAGCAUCAGUUUUGGCCACUGGAAAAGGGCGGAGGAAAUGUGGCAUCUUCGGAUGUGUUAUAGUCUUCCGUCGUAUACAGUGGCUGGGACUGAGGAACUCAGCACGCCGCAAGGCCGGGAUUUAUCCACGUUCGUGCUUAGGAUGCUGGCAUAAUGGCUUUAAUCGACCCGUCUUGAAACACGGACCAAGGAGUCUAACAUGCCUGCGAGUGUUUGGGUGGAAAACCCGAGCGCGUAAUGAAAGUGAAAGUUGAGAUCCCUGUCGUGGGGAGCAUCGACGCCCGGACCAGACCUUUUGUGACGGAUCUGCGGUAGAGCAUGUAUGUUGGGACCCGAAAGAUGGUGAACUAUGCCUGAAUAGGGUGAAGCCAGAGGAAACUCUGGUGGA